CGAGGGGCGUGGCCUAGAGGGGCGGGGAGGCGGGGCCACGCCCCCAGGAGGCCGGCGCUUGGCCGCCUUGACCAGUCCGGAGCCGCGCGCGGACGCGAGGUGGGUGGGUCUGCGGAAGCGGGUUCCUCCUCCUUUAAGGUUCGGUGACUCGUGGGCAGCCGGCCGCAGUGUCCGUGCACUUGUUUUCCGCAGAAGGUGAUUAUCGUGGCAACUCCUGUUAGUGCCUUCGCCGGGCACCCAGCACCCGGUCUCUGGCCCUUGGCACUCAGCACCCGGCACCCAGCGCUCAGCCUGCAGAGCACCUGGGCGGUCAAGCAGGACGUCUCCCGCGGGGUCUUGCGCUCUGCCAAAGAGCAGGAGCAGUGACCUUCUCGGUGGCUCUGAGGGGUAUGGGCUACCAUCAGAAAGUACAGUGGGUUCUGCUAAGCUGGCGGUCAAGCAGCAGAGACGUCGUGACACAUGGGGGACUGGAA
This 473-nucleotide long non-coding RNA is filed under the name Felis catus (domestic cat). Its description in RNAcentral is "lncRNA (ENSFCAG00000051191.1)". The record is from RNAcentral. Lineage: Eukaryota; Metazoa; Chordata; Mammalia; Carnivora; Felidae.